Molecule: small nucleolar RNA, 89 nt
Filed under: Setaria italica (foxtail millet)
Lineage: Eukaryota; Viridiplantae; Streptophyta; Magnoliopsida; Poales; Poaceae
Description: Small nucleolar RNA Z159/U59
Rfam family: Small nucleolar RNA Z159/U59
About the family: This family consists of several snoRNA Z159 or U59 sequences which are members of the C/D class of snoRNA which contain the C (UGAUGA) and D (CUGA) box motifs. This family seems to be found exclusively in rice.
Source: Rfam by way of RNAcentral
GUCUCUGGUGUUUAUCAAAAUUUAUACUUUUUCUGAAGUGCUUUUCUCAUGGUGCGAUGCGGAAUUCUUGAGACCUGAACUGAAGAGAC